Long non-coding RNA from Pseudomyrmex gracilis, 566 nucleotides. RefSeq lists it as uncharacterized. The transcript is spliced from 3 exons. NCBI's taxonomy places the organism in Eukaryota, Metazoa, Arthropoda, Insecta, Hymenoptera, Formicidae. The record is from RefSeq and is a predicted model, not a curated record.
AUUUAUAUGGCAGUUUGGUGGCCCUGAUGACAAUCGUAAUGGCUGGAACAGAACGAGUGUAACUGUAGCGCAACGCUAGAUCGCAUUAUUCAAGUGUCUCGCAUUACAGUUCGAAAUUCAGUAUAUACAACUCAACACGUGACAACUUAUGUGGAAAACUAUCUAUCACACAAUGAGCAACGACGGAAUCGACCCGUGCGAAUGCAUGUGGAAUCAUCUGACUGCGCAACAUUUACUUUCUAUUCUACGACAAUCGCAGGAUUAUUGUUCGGAUACCGAAUGUUUCGGCACGUCGAGAAGUACGUAUCAUUAAUAUUACUUUUAUUUAUAGUUAUUCUACUUUUCAUGAUGAUUUGUAAUUCUAUGUAAUACUUGCAUUUACUAACUAUAUAGAGUGUUCCUUAACUUCCCGGAAAAAAUAGAUUAACCUGAGAAAAUAAAACCAUAUGUUUGCAUAAGAUUACACGUAAGUGAUCAGAUUGCGCAUAUUUCGGAUCUUAUUUUAUAUGAUCAUACACGAUUUUCUAUGUUUAUAUAUAUUAUAUAUAUACAGGGUGUCCCAGAAU